GGAAUUGACGGGACCCGCACAAGCGGUGGAUGAUGUGGAUUAAUUCGAUGCAACGCGAAAACCUUACCUACCCUUGACAUGUCCGGAAUCCCGAAGAGAUUUGGGAGUGCUCGCAAGAGAACCGGAACACAGGUACUGCAUGGCUGUCGUCAGCUCGUGUCGUGAGAUGUUGGGUUAAGUCCCGCAACGAGCGCAACCCUUGUCAUUAGUUGCCAUCAUUUGGUUGGGCACUCUAAUGAGACUGCCGGUGACAAACCGGAGGAAGGUGGGGAUGACGUCAAGUCCUCAUGGCCCUUAUGGGUAGGGCUUCACACGUCAUACAAUGGUCGGUACAGAGGGUUGCCAACCCGCGAGGGGGAGCUAAUCUCAUAAAGCCGGUCUCAGUUCGGAUUGGAGUCUGCAACUCGACUCCGUGAAGUUGGAAUCGCUAGUAAUCGCGGAUCAGCACGCCGCGGUGAAUACGUUCCCGGGCCUU
RNAcentral lists this ribosomal RNA (475 nucleotides) under uncultured Propionivibrio sp. RNAcentral's name for it is "bacterial SSU rRNA". It matches the Rfam family "Bacterial small subunit ribosomal RNA", at positions 906 to 1382 of the family's 1533-position model. The record is from RNAcentral. Lineage: Bacteria; Pseudomonadati; Pseudomonadota; Betaproteobacteria; Rhodocyclales; Rhodocyclaceae.